Molecule: ribosomal RNA, 468 nt
Filed under: uncultured bacterium
Lineage: Bacteria
Description: partial 16S ribosomal RNA
Rfam family: Bacterial small subunit ribosomal RNA
Source: RNAcentral
GACGAACGCUGGCGGCGUGCUUAACACAUGCAAGUCGAACGGAAGGGCCCUGCUUUUGUGGGGUGCUCGAGUGGCGAACGGGUGAGUAACACGUGAGUAACCUGCCCUUGACUUUGGGAUAACUUCAGGAAACUGGGGCUAAUACCGGAUAGGAGCUCCUGCUGCAUGGUGGGGGUUGGAAAGUUUCGGCGGUUGGGGAUGGACUCGCGGCUUAUCAGCUUGUUGGUGGGGUAGUGGCUUACCAAGGCUUUGACGGGUAGCCGGCCUGAGAGGGUGACCGGCCACAUUGGGACUGAGAUACGGCCCAGACUCCUACGGGAGGCAGCAGUGGGGAAUAUUGCACAAUGGGCGGAAGCCUGAUGCAGCAACGCCGCGUGUGGGAUGACGGCCUUCGGGUUGUAAACCGCUUUCGCCUGUGACGAAGCGUGAGUGACGGUAAUGGGUAAAGAAGCACCGGCUAACUACGUG